GAUGAACGCUGGCGGCGCGCCUAACACAUGCAAGUCGAACGAUUAAAGCACCUUCGGGUGUGUAUAAAGUGGCGAACGGCUGAGUAACACGUGGGCAACCUGCCCCUCUCAUUGGGAUAGCCACGGGAAACCGUGGAUAAUACCGAAUACUUCGAGACUUCCGCAUGGAAGACUCGAGAAAGCUCCGGCGGAGAGGGAUGGGCCCGCGGCCUGUUAGCUUGUUGGUGGGGUAACGGCCUACCAAGGCAAUGAUGGGUAGCUGGGUUGAGAGACCGACCAGCCAGAUUGGGACUGAGACACGGCCCAGACUCCUACGGGAGGCAGCAGUGGGGAAUCUUGCACAAUGGGCGAAAGCCUGAUGCAGCGACGCCGCGUGCGGGAUGAAGGCCUUCGGGUUGUAAACCGCUUUCAGCAGGGACGAGGCGAAAGUGACGGUACCUGCAGAAGAAGC
RNAcentral lists this ribosomal RNA (451 nucleotides) under Lancefieldella parvula. RNAcentral's name for it is "bacterial SSU rRNA". It matches the Rfam family "Bacterial small subunit ribosomal RNA", at positions 28 to 491 of the family's 1533-position model. Lineage: Bacteria; Bacillati; Actinomycetota; Coriobacteriia; Coriobacteriales; Atopobiaceae. The record is from RNAcentral.